RNAcentral lists this ribosomal RNA (356 nucleotides) under Escherichia coli. Its description in RNAcentral is "bacterial SSU rRNA". It matches the Rfam family "Bacterial small subunit ribosomal RNA", at positions 1178 to 1533 of the family's 1533-position model. Lineage: Bacteria; Pseudomonadati; Pseudomonadota; Gammaproteobacteria; Enterobacterales; Enterobacteriaceae. RNAcentral also lists the same sequence under 1 other name. The record is from RNAcentral.
GAUGACGUCAAGUCAUCAUGGCCCUUACGACCAGGGCUACACACGUGCUACAAUGGCGCAUACAAAGAGAAGCGACCUCGCGAGAGCAAGCGGACCUCAUAAAGUGCGUCGUAGUCCGGAUUGGAGUCUGCAACUCGACUCCAUGAAGUCGGAAUCGCUAGUAAUCGUGGAUCAGAAUGCCACGGUGAAUACGUUCCCGGGCCUUGUACACACCGCCCGUCACACCAUGGGAGUGGGUUGCAAAAGAAGUAGGUAGCUUAACCUUCGGGAGGGCGCUUACCACUUUGUGAUUCAUGACUGGGGUGAAGUCGUAACAAGGUAACCGUAGGGGAACCUGCGGUUGGAUCACCUCCUUA